This 536-nucleotide small RNA is filed under the name Helotiales sp. SB55. RNAcentral's name for it is "eukaryotic LSU rRNA". The stretch from base 172 to 326 matches the Rfam family "5.8S ribosomal RNA". Lineage: Eukaryota; Fungi; Ascomycota; Leotiomycetes; Helotiales. The record is from RNAcentral.
AGGGAUCAUUACCGAGCUUUCGCCCCCACGGGUGACUGACCAUCCCUAUGUUUUGAAAACCUUGGCGUGUUGGCAAGCCCCUUCGGACGCCCCCUCUUGUGAUGCGCGCUCGACAAAGGAUGAAAACUCUGUUUAUUAAUGUCGACCGAUCACUAUAUAUAUAAUUGUUAAAACGAAUAACAAAGGAUCUCUUGGUUCUGGCAAAGAGGAGGAAAUUGGCGAAUUGGGAUAAGUAAUGUGAAUUGGAAAAUUCAUUGAAUCAUCAAAUCUUUGAACGCACAUUGCCCCCCCCGAGCAUUCCGCAACGCUUGCCUGUUCGAGCGUCAGGACAACACUCAAGCUCUGCUUGGUAUUGGACCGCAUCAGUUCUGAUCGGUCUUAAAAUCAGUGGCGGUGCCAUCGUGCUCUAAGCGUAGUAAUACUCCUCGCUACGGGGUCUCGGUGCGUACUUGCCAGAAACACCCCAACUUUCUAAGAUUGACCUCGGAUCACGUAGGGAUACCCGCUGAACUUAAGCAUAUCGAAAAGCGGAGGAA